Molecule: ribosomal RNA, 230 nt
Filed under: uncultured bacterium
Lineage: Bacteria
Description: partial 16S ribosomal RNA
Rfam family: Bacterial small subunit ribosomal RNA
Source: RNAcentral
UAAGCGUGCGCAGGCGGUUAUGUAAGACAGAUGUGAAAUCCCCGGGCUCAACCUGGGAACUGCAUUAGUGACUGCAUAGCUGGAGUACGGCAGAGGGGGAUGGAAUUCCGCGUGUAGCAGUGAAAUGCGUAGAUAUGCGGAGGAACACCGAUGGCGAAGGCAAUCCCCUGGGCCUGUACUGACGCUCAUGCACGAAAGCGUGGGGAGCAAACAGGAUUAGAUACCCGGGU